UUGCAAUGAUGAUUACACUUAGGACACCUUAAGAUGCAUAAUGAUAAGAAUUAGUUGUGAACUGAGCAAG
Molecule: small nucleolar RNA, 70 nt
Organism: Bacillus rossius redtenbacheri
Lineage: Eukaryota; Metazoa; Arthropoda; Insecta; Phasmatodea; Bacillidae
Product: small nucleolar RNA SNORD58
Exons: 1
Source: RefSeq, a predicted model, not a curated record